CAUUGGCUGCAGGGCGCGCGGCGCAGCUGUUCUGAUUAUCAUAUUUCAGCCUCGCCGCCGCUGAGCGCCACUGACCGCUCGGCGAGCCAGCGGGAGAGGAUUAGGGCUCCCGAGGCAACUUGCUCGGGGCUCAGGCCGUUCUCCCCCGAAGCUCGGGCUGCCGGGCUGUUCUGGCUCUGGCCUCCCUCUCCUCCUCUUCCUCUUCCUUCUGUCCCCUCCCGCGUUCCUUCCCGGCCGCGCCGCCUGCGCCCUCGCCUCCUGUGGCGCUGCUCCUCCGCCCUGCGCUCCUGGGGUCCCCGCAGUCCGGCUGGCCGCGUUGCGCGCGGGGCUCACUUUCUGCCGCCGGUGGCGAGUGGCUGAACUCCUAAGUGACCAGGAACAGACGAUUUUUAACCGAGUUCUGCUGCGUGGAGCCCAGGUUGGCGCUAGUGAGUGCAGUGUGCUGACCCAAGUGGUGGUGGCCCAAGGACGCGCUGACCCGUACAUUUGGCAAAGCUUUCAUUAAAUGUAUCAGAUUCUCGCGGAAGUGGUUGCAGUCCGGAGAGUGAAACAGCUAUCUCUCAAGUCCUGACCGGUUCAGCUGAAAUCUACAUUUGCACUGAAUCUGGCAAAACACGGACGGGUCCGCCCGAGAUCUCAGGAAACCCAGAGCAAGUUACCUCCAUGUAGUUGAUCAUUCUUUCUGAAAGGACGGACACCAUUUACCCCACUGCAAUCCUGUCCAACGGGCAGCUCUGAGUUUAGCUUUAGCGCCAAAGGAUUGAUUUCCCCCACCCGCUGGAGAUUUACUGGGGACGAGCGGGGGAGGGGAGGCGAAGGUACCUCGGAGGAGGUCAAGUGGGGGAGGAGGAGGAGCAGCAGAAAAUUACCAGCCAAGCAGGGGAGGGAGUUGGAAGCCCGGAAAUAUACCAGGAUGCCUCAAGUAACCUUCCUUUAAGUCUCAGAAUUCAGCCCUCGGAAAACAGCCUCAUAAGGUGUCCUGGGAAGGAGUCCUCGGGUGGGCUGCGGAGGUGAUGUCAAGAGUUACAGCUACUUUAUGAAUUAAACUGACGGCUAAGGCAUGUCGGGACAGUUUAGUGUAAGCUGAAUGGUGCGUGGACGGGGCAACUUUUAAAGAGAGGUGGGCAAUCAUUGGUGGCAUCUACCAGUAUAUUCUGCAUGUAACAGUAGUUUGGAAGCUGAAGAAAAACCCCUCAAAUCCCAGUAAAUGCCCGGUCAGUUCGAGAGAGAUUUUAGGGACAAUUUUGAAGGUCGCUGUCUGCUCCAACUCCGCAGAGAUGAACAAGAGUGUGAACUCUGGCGCGGGUGUGUUUAGAAUUAUCUACGACUUCAGAUCCAUGCUGUUGAAACUCAUCAAUUCUUUGUGACUUCACGUGGAGAGAAGAAUUUGCCCUGCCUCCCUACCUGCUAAAUGCCGACUGAGAAAAGGGGCCCAGGAGACGACCCCUUUCAGAAAGAACGUCACUUCAUCAACUCGGCUGAGUUAUUAACUUGCUCCCCGAAAGGUCAACAACGCCUUCUCUUCUCAGCCGCACCGCGCGGAGAUCAAUCGCUUUACCCUAGGUAGCCUCUUGUUCAGGGCUCAGGAACUCCUGUCUUAAGGUCCUUCUGGGGCUCAGAAGCUGUGUUGUGUAUGUUCUUUCCAAGAAUCCCACCUGUCUGCUUUCAAGCACACACGGCGCUAGAAAUUUAGCCUAGCCUGAGUCCUGGGAUGAGAGAAGAGCUAAACAAAGAGACCCCAACCGUCCCCUUGGCCCCCUGCCCCGCCGUUUUGCAGUUUGCCAACCUUCUAGCUAGACAGCCCCCUAAGUCUCCGUGUUGCGAGUGAAAGAGAAUUUUUCUAUUUCAUCUUCCCAUUGACCGAAGCAGAAAAAUUGAACCGAAUCUACGCCCCUUGUUCUGAUUCCUGCUAGAGGAAAACAGAAAAUCAUCCCGCAGGUCUCUUUCAGUCCCUGGAUGGCGAGCGCAGCCCCUGGGAGGCCACACUUAGUUCUUUAUUGUGAAUCUCUCGCUACUCAAGUUCGUUCGGGACCAGGGCCUCGGAUGGCCUCGGUUGCCCGUAAGUACGCGAAAGAAGAGGUGAAUCCAAUCGCUGGCCUAGAGGAUAGUGAUCAGACAACCCGAGGAUUACUAAACAAGGGGCGGCGGUGUCCCUGUCUCAUGGGGUUGGCGUGGGGCGGGGGGUAGGCAGCAAGAUCCUCCAGGCUCCUGGAUGCAAAGAGUGAGAAAGAAAGCGCAGCCUCUGGCAGCCUGCUUAUAAAUGCAGCCUUUCGGAAGAUGAAACUUGCAGUCUUAGGUUGUCCUCCUUUAUAUCCAUGUUCCAAUCCUCUGGGCUUUCCUCGAAAUGAAUAAAAUUGUGGAAAUGAAUGAAUGAGAAUAUCACUUUAAUUGUUUCAAACUCAUUGUCAAGUCACCUUUUCUGCCAUCUGCCAGAGGUUCAAUUUGCGCUUCGUGUCUACAUUCCAGAAAAUUGUAAGGACGUUUCCUCUGCAUCUGUCUGCCUUGUUGGCAGCGUGCGGAAACGAUAACUGCACAGUUAUUGGUACAGAAUAUUUUCAUGACUAGCUUAAUUCUAAAUAUCACCCCAAAAUACAGAUACCUUACUUCUUAGUUGGCAUUAUUCAAGUUUAUUCACUUUGUGCUGCAAAUGUUUGAAUUAGAAAACAGGAGAGAACUCCCGCAGCAGAGAUGCACUUCUCUGCUCUCCUGUCAGUCACAGAACCCACACUGGGUGAUUAGCCAGAGGGGCGGGCUCCUUUGUUGACUUAAGAGUUCACCAGGCAAGAUGGAACAAUUAUCUUGUUGCCUCUUCUUAACUGUCUAUUGUUGACUUACUUCUAGUAUGCUUCCAUUGUACAAAAUUCUAUCCAAAAUUGAAGAAUAAAUCGUAAGUUAAAAAGGUAAUAAUGAUAAUAGGUCUACUUUAAUUUUACCUGGCUUUGUUAAUAGAUAGUCUAUACCUGACAGUCAUAUACAUAAGAGAUGUCGAAAGUAUAUAGCAUAUCAUUUAUGUAUAAUUAUAUAUGUUAUAAUUAUAUGCUAAUGAUACCAUCAUUUAACGUUACAAGGUAAUUCUAUAGAAAACUUGAAGUUCUAUUUUUGAUAUAUAUAACACCCUCUUUACAAGAAAAUAAUUGUCAGGCUUAAAAAUGAUAUUCAAGGGUGCUUUUAUCAAGAGAACAAAAUCUGAAGCUUCAUGAACUAAAAUCCUAUCAAGCAAGGUGGUCCAUAACUAGGUUGCUUUGGGUUAAUGAUAACUUAAAAUACUCUUGUUUUUGUAACUUUUUGUGCACAAAGUGCACAUUUUACAGUUGUGCAUGUCAAUGUGUGUUUUACCACUUAUUAUUCUGAAACCUUCAGUCACAUCAUUUCAGCAGGAAAUAAAACCUGAAUAAGUCCUAGGCAAUGUGUAAGGAAUAAGUAUGGUUUAACUUUUGUAGCUUAACAAUAUUGUGCUGAUCUUUAAAUGCAAAUAUUAAUAUAUUGAAAUUAAUAUAAGUAGAUAAUUUCAUCACCUCCUAAUUUAUAAAAAAUGGAAAAGCAAAUAUAACAAGCUGCUUUACUUUCUAUAAUGUCUAUUUAAGGACCUAUUACCAAAAUAUAGUAAUAAUAGGAUUCAUGUAUGUGUAACACAUAUGUAGCUAUCACUCUAUUAUUGGAGAGUUCAGUCUAGUUAUAAACACACUGAACUAUCAUAUGAUGUGUGCCAUUACUUGAAUGUUGCUAAAUUGAUGCUAUGCUAUAUUUUAAGACUCUCCCUCCUCUUUCCAGAUACAUGUACUAGCCCAGGAAGAUCCCUGCAUCUUGAACAGUAAUGCUGAAUCGGAAACUAUGUCGUUACCCAUAAGUAGAAUCCUCCUGACUUUCACUUAAAUAUCAGGACCCAAAUUAUUUUAUGUCUCACUUCAGAACAUAGCACAAUGUGCUAUUUUAUCUUCUUGGCCCAGUCUUUAGAUUUAUUCUAUACUCUCCGUGUUACAAGCUGCACAAACCAUUGGUGACAAUGAGAACCACUCUAUAUAGUUUUACUGACUUUGGAUUCUCAUAUAAUGUAUGAACAAAUAUAAGCCAUAUCUUUUAGGUCUUGACGAUGUGUUUCUUCCAAUUCUGAAGUGUUCGUAUAGUUGUCCCUAAUGUCACGUGAUACGUCUCUUCGUUGUCCUAUACCCGAGCCAUAGCAGAUCUGAUGUGACUUUGGAUAUACCAUGUGAGGGCAAGCAUUUUCUUUUAGGCUAGGCCAUCAAUGAGGAAGAAACAUGAGUAGAGCUCUUAAAGCAGAGGAAAAUGUAAGUGGAUGGAAAAAAAUCACACUUUUGAAUAUAGUAUUGGAGAAAGAAUUGAGUGUGGGUGACUUUAUUAGCUAGCAGAAGAAAGAGUGAAAAUAGGUGCUUGGCUAAGAUGAGAAAAGUAUUCAAUUUUGAAAACAGAAAGAGAAAGCUUAUUUAGAAAAAGAAAACAUGGAGUAAAUGUCAAGAGGAACAUAAAGAAAUAGGGCGUGGUGACCCAGUUCAUUCUGAUAGAAUAGGCGUUUAAGGGCAAAACCCAGAUCCGAAAUAGGUAGUGGAUGGAACUAGGGAACAGUAGAUUCAUAAUUAUUUUAACUUGGCAUUUAAAACUUUAAAAUCUGAGUUGAGGGGUUUUUUUUAAUGGUAGAAAAGCAGCUUAUUUGGCAAUAAUUUUAAAAACUUCUGUCGCAUCUUUAAUCAUACUAGACUGUUCACCUUUGUAAACUCCUCACUAUCAGUAAACUGUCAGUACACUGUCAGUACAGAAAAUACAAACUAAAAGUACUAGAAAUAUCACAAUACGGAUUUCUCUUUUUAAUGUAACUAGGUUUAUCUAACAAUAAGAUUCAGGAUUCAGAAAAGAAAAAAGACCAGAUCUGAGAAGGAAUUUUAAAAAAUGGUUUCAAAGUUUUCCAGAGUUUUGUUAGCCAUUGCCCUUUCUGCAGACGUGGUUAUAUCAGAAAGUGUAAUUCAAGUAUUUGCACUGCUUACUUAAACCACAAUAAAAAGGGAAAGAUGUUGUGAAAACACUGCCUCAUGCUCAAAUUUAUGCAAAACAACUUGAAAGGCUGCCAGCAACACUGUUGUUAUGUUAGCAGUUCUGAUCUGGCUUCACAUUCUCCUAGAGGAGUUCUUCUGAUGUGAGAAGAAUGUAAACCCAAACCACAAGGGAGUAUUCAUUGUACCUAUGCACUUGGGAAGAGUUUGGGUGCCCAAAAUGUCAGAAAAAUCAGAUACAGUUGUUCUCUUAGAAUCUAUUCUGGAGGUCACAAGGUCAGAAUGCCUGCACAUGUGCAUAAACCAACAUGCCCAUAAAAGCCUGAUAGGAGGCAGCAGUGCCCCAUAAAAGGUCACACCCAGCCAGAAUCCAGCAACGUUGGAACAGCGUCUGUUAUGGAGAAGAAAUAUGUGUCUGACAGCAGCAACAGCAGCAGCAGAGAAAGAUGGAUUGGGGAUUAAUCAUGGUAAGAUACUGAGCAAAAGAGACAACAAAUUCUGCCAAGCAUGAAUCCUUCUCUACUCACAGGUUUCACAAAAUACACUCUUCAAAGUACAAGCUGGUUGGCCAAGGUCAGGUUGAUCUUUGCUAGGCUAAAGAAGCAGCUGCGGAGUGUUUCCCACGGCAGAUGGAGAACACCUAAGGAUUUUUUACUGUUAAAAAAAUAAUAAUUUGUGUUUCAACAGUAGAAAUACUCCUGAUAACACACGUGAUCAAAAUUGCAUUCCCCCUCAGUUCUCAUGACAUUCACUUUGGGGUAAUACCAUUUAAAAAAUAUUAUUGGUAGCUGUUAGCCUGUGGCUUUCCAGGACCUUACUUUUAAUGUAUUUCCCUUGUCUUUCUAGAUUUAACAUAUUGCCUCAUUUCAUAAUCUCCCUUCAUUGAGAUCAUUUGUAUAAGCAAAACAUGUUACAUGACAGUCUUUGGAAGACUGAAUAGGCGCCACUAAAUUGUGCAGUUUAGAGGGCUCUAGGCAAGGCCACCCAGACUGAAAUGGUAGCCCCUCUAUAUCUGUCAAAGCAUCUCAAAUAACUCUAAGAAAGAUUUACUACUUUGACAAUCAUAAAGACUCUUUAGUUUUCAGGAGGUUUUGUUUAGUUUUGUUGGUUGGUUAUUUAAUGCCAAAGCUUUCUGUAAUUGAUUUUUCCUGCUUCUUUACCCAUUUGUACCAUUAUGAAGAUUUCUAUAAUAAGCAUGCCAAUAAUAAGAAAAAAGAAGGAAAGAAGGAGUUGAAAAGGAAAUAAAGAUGAUAAACCUAAAAAUAAAUGAUACACAAUGGAAUACUAUUCAGCAAUUGAAAGAACAACUGAUACAUACUUUAACAUGGGUGGGUGAGUCUCAAUAUGCUGAGUAAAAGAAGCCAGAACAAAAAUGGACACUCUAUAAUUCUACUUAUGUAAAACUCUAGGAUAUACAAACUAGUGUUUGACAAACUGAUAGUGAAAGAAAUCAGAUGAGUGGUGACUGUGGGAUGGAGUAGGCGAAGGGUAGAUGGGAAAGGCAGAGAUUAAAAAGGGACUAGAGGAAAUUUUUGGAAGUGAUAGACAUAUUCCUUAAUUUAUAUUCCUUAUUUUUAUUGUGGUAGUUUAAUGGGGGUAUGCUGUGGCAAAGCUUACCAAAUUAUAUAUUUUAAAUAUGGGCAGUUCAUUGUGUAUCAUUUAUACCUCAAUAAAGCUAUUAAAAAUAGAAAAGAAA
RNAcentral lists this long non-coding RNA (6699 nucleotides) under Homo sapiens (human). RNAcentral describes it as "ISL1 divergent transcript (ISL1-DT)". Lineage: Eukaryota; Metazoa; Chordata; Mammalia; Primates; Hominidae. The record is from RNAcentral.